GCAUAUCAAUAAGCGGAGGAAAAGAAACCAACAGGGAUUGCCCCAGUAACGGCGAGUGAAGCGGCAACAGCUCAAAUUUGAAAUCUGGCUCUCGGGCCCGAGUUGUAAUUUGUAGAGGAUGCUUUUGGUGAGGUGCCUUCCGAGUUCCCUGGAACGGGACGCCAUAGAGGGUGAGAGCCCCGUCUGGUUGGACGCCGAACCUCUGUAAAGCUCCUUCGACGAGUCGAGUAGUUUGGGAAUGCUGCUCUAAAUGGGAGGUAUAUGUCUUCUAAAGCUAAAUACCGGCCAGAGACCGAUAGCGCACAAGUAGAGUGAUCGAAAGAUGAAAAGAACUUUGAAAAGAGAGUUAAACAGUACGUGAAAUUGUUGAAAGGGAAGCGCUUGUGACCAGACUUGGGCUUGGUUGAUCAUCCGGGGUUCUCCCCGGUGCACUCUUCCGGCCCAGGCCAGCAUCAGUUCGCCCUGGGGGACAAAGGCUUCGGGAACGUGGCUCUCUCCGGGGAGUGUUAUAGCCCGUUGCGUAAUACCCUGUGGCGGACUGAGGUUCGCGCAUUCGCAAGGAUGCUGGCGUAAUGGUCAUCAGUGACCCGUCUUGAAACACGGACCAAGGAGUCGUCUUCGUAUGCGAGUGUUCGGGUGUCAAACCCCUACGCGAAAUGAAAGUGAACGCAGGUGAGAGCUUCGGCGCAUCAUCGACCGAUCCUGAUGUUAUCGGAUGGAUUUGAGUAAGAGCAUACGGGGCCGGACCCGAAAGAAGGUGAACUAUGCCUGUGUAGGGUGAAGCCAGAGGAAACUCUGGUGGAGGCUCGCAGCGGUUCUGACGUGCAAAUCGAUCGUCAAACAUGGGCAUGGGGGCGAAAGACUAAUCGAACCUUCUAGUAGCUGGUUUCCGCCGAA
RNAcentral lists this ribosomal RNA (897 nucleotides) under Fusarium macroceras. RNAcentral's name for it is "LSU rRNA". It matches the Rfam family "Eukaryotic large subunit ribosomal RNA", at positions 38 to 965 of the family's 3401-position model. Lineage: Eukaryota; Fungi; Ascomycota; Sordariomycetes; Hypocreales; Nectriaceae. The record is from RNAcentral.